This is a non-coding RNA of Notechis scutatus (mainland tiger snake), 214 nucleotides long. The record is from RefSeq and is a predicted model, not a curated record. Lineage: Eukaryota; Metazoa; Chordata; Lepidosauria; Squamata; Elapidae.
AAAAGUGCAGAUUUAAUCAUGUACCAGAAUGCAUUCUAUUAGGAAUCAUGUCAAAAAGAUACAAUAAGGAUGAGCUAUAUUUGAUUAUACAUAUUAUUACUGCGGCAAGGAUAGCAUUUGCCCAGAACUGGAAAGAGACAGACAUACUGAGUAAAGGCGAAGUAAUAAACAAAAUCUUGAUAUGCACCGAAAUGGACAAGCUAACUUUAGAGAU